CAGUAGCCACGGUAAUACGGAGGGUGCAAGCGUUAAUCGGAAUUACUGGGCGUAAAGCGCACGCAGGCGGUCUGUCAAGUCAGAUGUGAAAUCCCCGGGCUUAACCUGGGAACUGCAUUUGAAACUGGCAGGCUAGAGUCUUGUAGAGGGGGGUAGAAUUCCAGGUGUAGCGGUGAAAUGCGUAGAGAUCUGGAGGAAUACCGGUGGCGAAGGCGGCCCCCUGGACAAAGACUGACGCUCAGGUGCGAAAGCGUGGGGAGCAAACAGGAUUAGAUACCCGCGUAGUCCCUGUCUCUUAUAA
Molecule: ribosomal RNA, 301 nt
Filed under: uncultured bacterium
Lineage: Bacteria
Description: partial 16S ribosomal RNA
Rfam family: Bacterial small subunit ribosomal RNA
Source: RNAcentral